UAAGUAGAAUAAAUGAUCGCGCCGGCAUUUGUCCGGUGAGGAAAGUCCGGGCUUCAUAGGGCAGGAUGCCGGAUAACGUCCGGUGGAGGCGACUCCAAGGAUAGUGCAACAGAAAUAAUACCGCCAGCUUUGUUGGUAAGGGUGGAAUGGCAGUGUAAGAGACUACCGCUUUUCCGGUAACGGAGAAGGCUGUGUAAACCCCAUCCGAAGCAAGACCAGACAGAAAGCAAUAGGCUUGCCCGGCCUGCUUUCAGGUGGGUCGCUUGAGACUGCUGGCAACAGCAGUUCCAGAUAGAUGAUCAUUCACGACAUAACCCGGCUUAUCGUUCUGCUUAAUUC
RNAcentral lists this RNase P RNA (339 nucleotides) under Lachnospiraceae bacterium. RNAcentral's name for it is "RNase P RNA component class A". It matches the Rfam family "Bacterial RNase P class A". Rfam says of the family: Ribonuclease P (RNase P) is a ubiquitous endoribonuclease, found in archaea, bacteria and eukarya as well as chloroplasts and mitochondria. Its best characterised activity is the generation of mature 5'-ends of tRNAs by cleaving the 5'-leader elements of precursor-tRNAs. Cellular RNase Ps are ribonucleoproteins. The record is from RNAcentral. Lineage: Bacteria; Bacillati; Bacillota; Clostridia; Lachnospirales; Lachnospiraceae.